This 898-nucleotide long non-coding RNA is filed under the name Numida meleagris (helmeted guineafowl). Its description in RNAcentral is "lncRNA (ENSNMEG00000009764.1)". Lineage: Eukaryota; Metazoa; Chordata; Aves; Galliformes; Numididae. The record is from RNAcentral.
AAGAAGGAAACAAAGCCUGAGCUGGGGCACGGAUAAAGCUGCAAAGUGGUCCGUUUCCCCUUCGCUGUUGUGAUUUUAAUUAAGACAAAGAGGCGAGGUGGGGAAAUAAUUGUUUUUGGAAGCGUUAUCCACAGCAACGUGCUCCAUGGAACUCGUGUGCGAGGCACCCCUGGGGUGGCUGCAGGAUGGAUCCUGCUUCAGGGUUAGAAUGAGUGUGGGAUGUGCCUGCUCAGUAGUUAAAAAAGAAAGUGUGACCAAAAGGCUUUUCUUUGCAAGUAUUGUAAUGCAUGGUCAAUGUGGUGGUUUGGUUUUGGGGUUUUAUUUUUUUUUUUGCUCUGCUGUAGGGUUGAAGGGCUGCUAAUGAAUUCUGCAGAAUGCACUGCUUCCCUCGCCCUGCCCUGCUGUGAGCAGAGGGAACAUCUGCACUUCAGGGUGACUUUAUACCCUCCCUUUCCUGCCUGUCCAUGCAUUAAAGUGAGCAAGUAUCCAGCACUGCCCCUGCUUCCAUCUGAAACCUUCAGCCCAGGGGUCACAAUGCCAGCACCCCCUCUGCAUGAGCUCCCCCCGUGCGUUCACUCGUGCCAUUCCUACAGUGCAGCCUCUCUCCGUGACCUCCUGCGAUGCUUCGGAUGGUUUCGACUUCUGUUGGAACGUUUCCCCUUGGGAAGCUUUCUUUCCCCUUUGACUUCUGCAGCAGUUGCCGUGGGGAGCGACGAUGUCACAGUGGGGAGGGCUGUGGGGAAGGGUGGGCUCCAUGGACAGCACCCAGCGAGCAGGCUUCUACCUGGCCAUGUGAGCAGCUCUUCCAUCUCACCAGAGGAACGAGUGAAUGUGAAGUUAAGCUCCGGUGUGGGGCUCUCUGGGAUGGACCUGUUUCCACCCUGAUCUGCUGUGGCUG